This 495-nucleotide ribosomal RNA is filed under the name uncultured bacterium. Its description in RNAcentral is "partial 16S ribosomal RNA". It matches the Rfam family "Bacterial small subunit ribosomal RNA", at positions 899 to 1397 of the family's 1533-position model. The record is from RNAcentral.
ACUCAAAGGAAUAGACGGGGGCCCGCACAAGCGGUGGAGCAUGGGGUUUAAUUCGUCACUAACCGAAGAACCUUACCCAGGCUUGACAUCCCCUGACAACCCGAGAAACCGGGCCUUCCCGCAAGGGACAGGGAGACAGGUGUUGCAUGGCUGUCGUCAGCUCGUGUCGUGAGAUGUUGGGUUAAGUCCCGCAACGAGCGCAACCCUCACCCCGUGUUGCCAGCCGAGAGGCGCACUCACGGGGAACUGCCGGGGCAACCCGGAGGAAGGCGGGGAUGACGUCAAGUCGGCAUGGCCCUUACGCCUGGGGCUACACCCAUGCUACAAUGGGGCGGACAGAGGGCUGCGAUGGGGCGACCCGGAGCCAAUCCCAAAAACCGCUCCCCAAUUGGGAUCGGAGUCUGCAACUCGACUCCGUGAACGUGGAAUCGCUAGUAAACGCCGGUCAGCCAAACGGCGUUGAAUCCGUUCCCGGGCCUUGUACACACCGCCCGU